This 776-nucleotide ribosomal RNA is filed under the name uncultured Neocallimastigales. RNAcentral's name for it is "partial large subunit ribosomal RNA". It matches the Rfam family "Eukaryotic large subunit ribosomal RNA", at positions 23 to 645 of the family's 3401-position model. Lineage: Eukaryota; Fungi; Neocallimastigomycota; Neocallimastigomycetes; Neocallimastigales. The record is from RNAcentral.
AUAGAGACUCAGAGCUGCAUAUCAAUAAGCGGAGGAAAAGAAACUAACAAGGAUUCCCUUAGUAACGGCGAGUGAAGCGGGAAGAGCUCAAAUUUGAAAUCUUCAAGGUUCUACCUUGACGAAUUGUAGUUUAAAGAAGUGUUUUCUGUUAGAUGAGUAGCAAAAGUUCCUUGGAAUGGGACAUCAUAGAGGGUGAGAAUCCCGUAUUUGGUUAUUCAUUCUAGCUUUGUGAUACACUUUCAAAGAGUCGGAUUGUUUGGGAAUGCAGUCCAAAAUGGGUGGUAAAUUUCAUCUAAAGCUAAAUAUUGGCGAGAGACCGAUAGCGAACAAGUACCGUGAGGGAAAGAUGAAAAGAACUUUGAAAAGAGAGUUAAACAGUACGUGAAAUUGUCAAAAGGGAAGCGUUUGACACCAGUGUUGUUUUUCCGAAAAUCAAUUACGAAUGGCUUGAUUCUGUGUUGUAUUGACCUUAUCAGCUUUCUUCACUUUUUUCGAGUCUUUCUUAAUGCACUUUUCGGUUAACAAGUCAACAUCAAUUUCUUUUGUUGUAAAAGAGUCAUUCGGAAGGUGGCUUUCAUUUCGGAUGAAAGUGUUUAUAGCCUUUUACCGCUGCAAUCGAAGAGACUGAGGUCUGCAGCGUAGAUCCUUCGGGGUUAGAUACAUUUGUGCUAAGCUAUAGCCUUGUAUAGACAACUUGUUGACUAUGCUCAGUCAUGUAGCUUACUCACUUAUGCUAUUUUACCUACGCUUAGGAUGUUGAAGUCAUCGUAUCGCGC